GCCCCGGUAGCUCAGCUCCGGUGGAGCGUCGGCCUUGUAAGCCGAAGGUCCCGGGUUCAAAUCCCGGCCGGGGCUCCA
This 78-nucleotide transfer RNA is filed under the name Thermofilum adornatum 1505. RNAcentral's name for it is "tRNA-Thr (TGT) (tRNA-Thr-TGT-1-1)". It matches the Rfam family "tRNA". From Rfam's summary of the family: Transfer RNA (tRNA) molecules are approximately 80 nucleotides in length. Their secondary structure includes four short double-helical elements and three loops (D, anti-codon, and T loops). The record is from RNAcentral. Lineage: Archaea; Thermoproteati; Thermoproteota; Thermoprotei; Thermofilales; Thermofilaceae. RNAcentral also lists the same sequence under 2 other names.